Molecule: long non-coding RNA, 710 nt
Organism: Suricata suricatta (meerkat)
Lineage: Eukaryota; Metazoa; Chordata; Mammalia; Carnivora; Herpestidae
Exons: 4
Source: RefSeq, a predicted model, not a curated record
UCACCAGAGACCACAUAGCUAGAGAAUGGCCAAACUCAGUUUUGAAUCUAAGCAGUCUUGACUCCAGAGCCCUCCAGCUUAAAGGCCCAGAAAUGUGAACAAGAGUACCACUACAGCCCCUGAUGAGUUAAUAGAUCUCCAUAAUCAUCAUUAUCAUGAGAAGGCGCACAACCAAAACAAUUAAAUCAGAAUCUGUGAAGGUGGUGGAACUCGGCAUCAAUGCGUGUUAAAAUCCCUCAAGCGAUCCCUCAAGUGUACCACCAAGUCAGAACCACAGCAGACACAUUCAUCUGUGAAAGUUUGGGCACAGAUCAGGCUGAGACCUACUGAAUCUCCAGUACUGGCGUUUUGACAAGUGAUACCUGCAAGAAUGUUGCAGCUGAACCGAGAGAGAGGCGUGGAAGCAUCCAGCCCUGCAUUCCAAAGGUCCAGCCCUGGAACAGGGAAUCCGGACAUGAUCCUGAAAACUGAAGACACUGGGAAAUGUGGAGCCCAGGAGCGGAGGUGAACCCUCAAGGUGGCAGAACCCAGUGGAGCAGAGGUGGGCUUACAUGAGCUCCAACUGGGAAAGAGAAACCUUUCUCUGGUGAGCAAAUGGUAGAGAAGGGACCUGUUGGCACUUUAGACUCACAGUCUUGUCAUGCCCUUUUGUCCCCAAAGAUCUAAUCAUUGCUUGAUAUUUACUUACCCUGUAACAUAAAGGAAGUUUU